AGACUACCUGGGGUCCAGCCUGUGGUUCACAUUACACACACAUCUCUCCCUCUCUCUCUCUCUCUAAACUCUCUCUUCCUCUCUGUUAAAUUCGACUCAACCAUGACAAAUUGCUGUGUGAUCUUCUGCGAAAUCUUGAUCGCAAUCUUGCUCCCUCCUAUCGGGGUCUGCAUCAGGCAUGGCUGCUGCAGCGUAGAGUUCUUCAUAUGCUUGGUAUUGACAAUCUUAGGUUACAUUCCUGGAAUAGUUUACGCUCUCUAUGUGAUCCUCUGCGUCGAUCGCAAUAUCACUCGCGCCGAUUACCGUCCACUGGCCUAGUCUCUCUCUCUCAAAAUCUGUGUGUUUAGCUGUAAUCUCAUGGUAUUGUAUGCGAUUAAGUGAAGUUUGUGAUGAUAUGUUAGAUUAAUUUAUGAAAACUCAGGAUGUGUUGGUUACUUUUGAUAUUUGAUUGCUUUAAUUUCUCUAUUAA
Non-coding RNA from Camellia sinensis, 469 nucleotides. Lineage: Eukaryota; Viridiplantae; Streptophyta; Magnoliopsida; Ericales; Theaceae. The record is from RefSeq and is a predicted model, not a curated record.